AUUUUAACAUCUGGGCUCUGCUGUCUACCACCCAUUGCCAAACUCACUGUUGCUUUGUGAUCUUGGCAACAGGGAAAUUAGAGCAAAGGAAAUCCAUAAAAUCACAAACCAUAGCAGAAUUUUAACACCCAACAGAGCACUUUGCCAGUAGUAGGAGAGUGGGGGGCAGGGCACUAUGGACAGUUACCAGCACCUCACUGUCCCAGCAGAGCAUCAGCAGGGACUCCGAGCAAGGUGUCCAGAGAAAUUCAAAGGAAUCACCAGGGAGAAAUGCUUUAUUUCCUUUGCAGAUGAAAUGUGGGGGAGGGGCAGUUCAUCUUUCUGAAUUCUUUCCCUUUACCCACUCACUGCUGGCUCUGUCACCUCCAGGUCUUCCUUGAGGCAGUCUACCCCAUAUCUCCUUGUCACCCUCAGUUCCUGCAGGACAGACCUCCCCUGGCUCCCUGGCAGUGAGAUGACUGCCCUCCCAUCUAGGGCUCUGUCCCCUGGGACAGUCAGUGCAGGGCCAGCCUCCGGCCUCAACUCAUCAAUGUCCUAUCUUCUUGGCGGGAUUGCAGUCCUGGGGGGGUCAAGGUGUGUUCUGUUCACACCACUGAGCCCACAUGGAGCAGGCAGGGCACAUGAUAAAGGAAUGCCCCAGGGUGGCACAGGGAACUGUGUGGGCUAUGCCAGGGGUGAGGUGACUUCAGCACCCCCAAGAACAGAUCUGUCAGCACCUCCCUGAGUAACUCACAGGCUCCCAAGGACCUCAACCACCCUUGCUCUUUCUCCUUGGUUGGCUCUUGCUGUCUUGACUCCUGUGUCAGCCUCAGCCUCUGCCCCCACCUUCCUUUCUAAUCUGUCAUCAGAUCUGUCUCUCCCAUAUCCCAUGAAGCACAGACCUCUAUCAUUAACAUGCCCCUCACCAGGCGCCAGGACAACCUCCAAACAAGUUGCUGCCUCCCCUCCUGCAGCUCUCCAGAUGGCAAUCAGCAGCUCCCCGCACCAGCAGAAUUUACAUGCCCUAAAGUGGUUCUCAGGGCCUUCAUGAGCUUCCAAAGAUAGGAAGUGGUGGCCAACGGAUAUAAAUAGAUUUUAUUGGACAUUGCAGAAUAUCAUACGCAUUUAGAUUAGAGGUCUGAAAGAAAAACUUAAGACAUUGCAUUUAAUAAUCUAAUUUCCUAAACGGGUGUGGUGGCUCAUGCCUGUAAUCCUAGCACUCUGGGAGGCCAAGGUGGGAGGAUCCCUUGGGCUCAGGAGUUCCAGAUCAGCCUGAGCAAGAGUGAAAUCCCAUCUCUACUAAAAUAGAUGAAAAACAAGGCAGGUGUCGUGGCAGGCACCUAUAGUCUCAGCUACGUGGGGAGCUGAGGCAAGAGGAUUUCUUAAGCCCAGGAAUUUGAAGUUUGAGGUUGCUGUAAGCUAUGAUGACACCAGGACACUCUACCCAGGGCAACAGUGAGACUCUGCCUCAAAAAAAAAAAAAAAAAAAAAAAUCUAAUUUCCUGUUGUGCCUUACAAACAGGAAGGUUUGGAGACCCUGGACUGCGGCAUAGGAGAUACAGUUGAAGAGCACCUGACUCAGUGCGCCCCUGUCCCACCACUUGGUUGUCUCUUACACCCGGGCCACUGAGUUGAAACAUACAUUUCUUUGUGACCACUACCUAGUUGACCAGCUCCACUUCUUGCCUUAUGUUUUUCUCCCAGCUGCCCCUUUCAGCUUCAGCCACAAUGAAUUACUUUCAGAUCCCUGAAUGGAUCUAAUUUCCUUGUGUCUCCUUUGCAUGUGUUAUUCCCUCUAUCUGGAUUACCCCUCACUCCUUGCCUGGUUAACUCCUAAUAAUUUUCAAGUCCUAGGCCAGAGCACCCUUCUUGCAGGAAGCCUUCCUUGAUUUUUGCUCCACUUAGCCCUGUUGCCUGUCCUCACUCCUCCUGAAGAUCCGUCACUCCUCUAAUUGCCUUUCUACCUGUCUACUUCACUAGAUUGGGAGGUCCAAGAGGGCAGGAACUAGGCCUUUUAAUUUGCUGUGAAAACUCUAACCCCUAUCAUGGAGGCUAACUCAGUAAUAUUGCCAGAGGCAAUGGAUCCUGCUUGGGCUUCCACUUUCCCCUGGUAACUUUCCUGGGAUGGAAACAAAAACCGGAGGUCCCAAAUGUGUUUUCUUGCCUCUCAGAGUCUUGUUUUGUUUUUCUAAGUUUGAAUUAGUGCCAACAUUUAAAAAUCUAGAAAUGUAAAAUUCUUUUCUCUAACUUGUACUGAAAAAAACAAAAAUAUUUUUAGGCAAGAGCAGGAAUCAUUCAUGGCAACCCCUACCCAGGCUAACUCUCAGCCUACCUCUUAGAUGGGGCUGCAGGUGACUUCCUGUUUCCUAAAGUUCCCAUCCAGCCCUGCUGAUUACCACUGCCUACGUGGCUCCUGGAAGCAGCCAGUUCCAGACUUUUGCCCCAGCCUGGGCUUUGAGGCAGAAGUGACCAUUCCAAGAGGACAGGAAUUUUCUAGGAGGAGAUGGAUUCUGACUCUGACUUCCUUUAGACAACCUGGGGAAAGAGACCCUUUUGUCUGUGGCCUUCUCCUCUGUGUACGACUCUGGAAGAUUUUUUAUCUUGGGACAGUCCUCAGCAGUUACCAUCUGCCAAAAGCAUGCCCUGCCACCAGGACCAUAAAUGAAUGGCAGAUGCGAAAAUAAGAGGUCACCUCUGCCCUGAUUUUUCUAACAUUUAAGCAGUAUAGCAGUUAUAUUUUUGGCAGCUGUUCUCUGGGGGAGCAGAGUAGCAGAGAUCCACAACUAUUUUUCUGAGAUCCCUUCUCCACUGCAUUCCAACUUAGUGCUGAACUUUGGGGGAGUCAGGAAACAGGUACAGUCAUUCCUCAGAAUUGGUUUCAGGAUGCCCACCCCAGCCCCACGGAUAACAACAUCCAAGCAUGCUCAAGUCCCUUAUAUAAAAUGGCAUAGUAUUUGUAUAUAAGUUAAGAACAUUCUCCCAUAUACUUUAAAUCUUCUCUAGGUUACUUAUAAUACCUAAUACAAUAUAAAUGCUAAAUAAAUAGUCACUAUAUUGCAUUUUUAUUUGAAUUAUUUUUUAUUGUUGCUUUGCUAUUUUUUAUUUAACUUUUUAAUUUGUGGUUGCUUGCAUUCAUGGAUGCAGAACCCAGCGAUAUGGAGGGUUGACUGUAUUCCCCUGGAAUGGCUCCCUGCCAGAAAAUAUGCUUGGUGUCUCAUCCAAUUGUCCAGCUGGUCAUCCAAAACAUUUUGAGUGUCCACUGUGUGCCAGGCACCCCCGGCCUAUUUUGGCACCCUCCUCUGUAUAGUGCUCCUUCAAGGCUCAGUUCUGAUGCUACUUCUUUGGUUGGCUUUCCCAGGCUCUGUGGCCCCCUGUCAGCAAGCUGGGUCUUCCUGUGUAUUCCACCCCUGACCUGUACUGCCCAUAUUAAAUGAUUAAUACUGGGUAUUUUCUCACCUUGGACCCUAGUCAGAAGGGCAGGAGGUCCUGUUCAACACAUGAUCCCACCCCACCAAGACGGUGCCCGGAACGUGCAUACUGGCAAAAAUUAUUUCACCGAAUAAAUCAGUGGUAUUUCAAAGAACAGAUGGAAAAUUGUGUGAGCAUUUUUGGGUGUCACAAGACUAAGGAGAUUCUACUAGCAUUUAGGAGGUGGAGGGAGCAGGAAUUUGGACUUCUUGUAAUGGAAAAAACAAUUGACCGCAACAAGCGGUUCUGUCUUGUACAACUUUCAAAUGUCCUGCCAAACCUUUAGGUAGGUUAAAAAGCCAAACGAACAAACGUCUUUACCAUCUGUUUUAUAUACGAAUACAAUAAAUUUUGUCCAGUUUUAAUAUAUACUAUAUUAUCCAGCAAUGCAUUUAUCAGGUUAAUGGAAGUUAUACUUUGUUCACCAUUGUGGCAAAUGACCGUGGACCCUGCUCACUACAGGUGAGUCACCAGAACAGCAUGCCCAUGUCUGCCUGCAUUUUUGCUGUCACAGUCACUCCAUGAUUGUAUACGAAUACUAUAUUUGGCCAUUUACUCAAGAUGUCAAGUAUAAACUGUUGGCACAAUUCAGUUGAAAAUUGUCUGCUAGGCUCAGCGCCUAUAGCUCAGCAGCUAAGGCGCCAGCCACAUACACCGGAGCUGGUGGGUUCAAAUCCAGCCCGGGCCUGCCAAACACAAUGACAACUACAAACAAAAAAUAGCCGGAUGUUGUGGCAGGCAACUGUAGUCCCAGCUACUUGGGAGGCUGAGGCAAGAGAAUCGUUUAAGCCCAAGAGUUAGAGGUUGCUGGGCGGUGCCUGUGGCUCAAAGGAGUAGGGCACUGUCCCCAUUUGCCGGAGGUGGCGGGUUCAAACCCAGCCCCAGCCAAAAACUGCAAAAAAAUAAAAUAAAAUAAUUAAUAAAUAAAAUUUUAAAAAGGAAAUAAAAAAAUAAAAAUGCUAAAAAAAAGAGGUUGCUGUGAGCUGUGACGCUACAGCAAUCUAUUGAAAGCAACACAGUGAGACUCUUGUCUCAAAAAAAAGAAAAAGAAAGAAAAGAAACUUGUCUUCAAGUAUACCUACAUUCACUCUUUUAAGUUGGGCACAGCAUGACUGGAUAUAAUCCAGAGCUCUUACAAAGUGUCUUUUUUAAAAACAUACAUCUUUAUUUAUUAUUAUUAUUAUCAUUUUGCAUUUUUUUUGGCCAGGUUUGAACCCACCACCUCCGGUAUAUGGGGCUGGCACCCUACUCCUUAAGCCACAGGCGCUGCCCUGCAUAUUCUCUUAUUAUGAAUCACCUUCAUUUCCCUCACAUCUCCUUUAUAAAGACAGGGCUGUGCGGCAGGGGGAGAGGGUUUGUCGCCUCUGGUGGAACCAGCCCCUUUCAGCCUCAAUUUCCCGCUUUGGGGACCAGGAGCAACCGGGCACAAACUCCAUGCAUUGGAGUACCGUAGAGAGGUCCAAUGGUCCCUGAGACCUGCCUUCACCUCCCAGCCUCAGCUUCCCCAACUGUCACACCUCCCAGAGAUCUACAAACGACCCUCAGUCCGACCCCGGUCCCGAACCCAGCUGGAAGACCAGUCUCCCGGUUGCGGCGGCGGUUGCUAUGGGCUACGGCGUGGGCGCAGAGACAACACGUAGCUGCCCAGCGGCGUCUAGGGCGCAUGCGUGUCGGCCUCCCUGCCUGCGUGCGGCAGGGGGUGACUCCCAGGAUUCCCGGCGGCUGGUGGGCGAAAAAUGGCGGGCGUGGCGUUGGCCAGGUGCUGUUCCCUCUGACUUAAAUGCCAUUCACAACUUCUGCAGCCUUGUUCUCUGUUGAACUCUUCUUCCACCUUCAAUUGCUUUCAUUUGAUGGUCACCGUCCCAUCCUGUUCCCCGACAAACCAUCAGAGCCUAAAGAUCACAGCUGUUCCUGCCACUACCAUUGCUGCCAUUUCUGCUCGCAAGCUACUGCUCUUUGAUCCAAGUGGGGAAAAAUCUAAUGCAUUUCUUAGUGUUUAUUUCAAGGUUCAAGAGGUGGCCAGCAUUCCCUGGCUUGUAGCUCCUUCCUUUUCAACGCAUCCUCAAAAGUUUUUUCAUCCUCACAUCUCCUGACACCUGCAUGGAUCCACCUAGACAGAUUCUGUUCCCAGUGACUUAAAAGCCUUAACUGCUAUGAUGAGAUCGCACAGGACCCACCCUCUCCUCUCACGCCCCCACAGGUCUCAAACAGGUUCUUCCUGGAGGCUGGUGGCGAAGACCCACGAGAAUAAAAGCCGAUAGCCUGCCAGAGAACAGUCUAUUCUGUGAGCAGGAGGCAGAGCUAGCUUCUCACUAAGGCGUCUUUGUAGGGCUUAUCAAAAUGAAAUAAAAAAGAAAGCUUUUGUCCUAUUGCACACCAGGGUCCUGCUGCUGUUCUGGGAACGUGUGGGUGGGUGCCACCCGCAGGGAAAACACAGACUCGAAGAGCUUGAAGAGGCACUGGGAACCCUGAUGGUGUUCUGGGUCCCACAGCCAUCUGCUCACUUAAGAAAAGGCUCCAGACAUUUCGCCAAGAGGUCUGGUGCAGUGUGGCUUUGCCUGCAUGCCGGUGUCCAGUCCUGUCAGCAGCACCAGAACAUGGGAAAGCCAAGGACAAGGGGCAGACUUGGGAGUGAGACACCUAUAACCAAGCAACCUGAUGUCCUAAUGUGGCUACUUACAA
Long non-coding RNA from Nycticebus coucang (slow loris), 6129 nucleotides. RefSeq lists it as uncharacterized. The record is from RefSeq and is a predicted model, not a curated record. Lineage: Eukaryota; Metazoa; Chordata; Mammalia; Primates; Lorisidae. The transcript has 5 exons.